Molecule: ribosomal RNA, 769 nt
Filed under: Weissella paramesenteroides
Lineage: Bacteria; Bacillati; Bacillota; Bacilli; Lactobacillales; Lactobacillaceae
Description: bacterial SSU rRNA
Rfam family: Bacterial small subunit ribosomal RNA
Source: RNAcentral
CUAAUACAUGCAAGUCGAACGCUUUGUCUUUAAUUGAUMUGACGAGCUUGCUCUGAUGUGAUUUUAUCUGACAAAGAGUGGCGAACGGGUGAGUAACACGUGGGUAACCUACCUCUUAGCAGGGGAUAACAUUUGGAAACAAGUGCUAAUACCGUAUAAUACCAACAACCGCAUGGUUGUUGGUUGAAAGAUGGUUCUGCUAUCACUAAGAGAUGGACCCGCGGUGCAUUAGCUAGUUGGUAAGGUAACGGCUUACCAAGGCAAUGAUGCAUAGCCGAGUUGAGAGACUGAUCGGCCACAAUGGGACUGAGACACGGCCCAUACUCCUACGGGAGGCAGCAGUAGGGAAUCUUCCACAAUGGGCGCAAGCCUGAUGGAGCAACGCCGCGUGUGUGAUGAAGGGUUUCGGCUCGUAAAACACUGUUAUAAGAGAAGAACGGCACUGAGAGUAACUGUUCAGUGUGUGACGGUAUCUUACCAGAAAGGAACGGCUAAAUACGUGCCAGCAGCCGCGGUAAUACGUAUGUUCCAAGCGUUAUCCGGAUUUAUUGGGCGUAAAGCGAGCGCAGACGGUUAUUUAAGUCUGAAGUGAAAGCCCUCAGCUCAACUGAGGAAUGGCUUUGGAAACUGGAUGACUUGAGUGCAGUAGAGGAAAGUGGAACUCCAUGUGUAGCGGUGAAAUGCGUAGAUAUAUGGAAGAACACCAGUGGCGAAGGCGGCUUUCUGGACUGUAACUGACGUUGAGGCUCGAAAGUGUGGGUAGCAAACA